AAUUUCCCUACCAUGUGACUAAAUACCACAAUUUGCCAAGUGUAGAGAUUAUUGAGAGAGUGUAGAGAUUAGAGAGAUAGUGUAGAGAUUAGAGAGAGAGAGAUCAAGGCAUUAAUUGCCAAUAUUUCCUUAAGAUUACAAAAUCCUCUUUAAAGAUCACAAGAUCAUUUACAAUCUUGCAAAAUCCUCUCUCACUACUCACUCAUCAUUUUCGACCAACACCUCUCUCCCUCUUUCUCUCACUUUCCUCCAUUUUCAUCCAUUGUAGAGACCUUCGGAGCUUACCAAAAAAAAAAAAAAAAAAAAAAAAAAUUAAUACCAAACACCUCAAUUUCACUCUUAAAUCUUACAUAAAAACAUCCUAGCUAC
Molecule: long non-coding RNA, 369 nt
Filed under: Salvia miltiorrhiza (redroot sage)
Lineage: Eukaryota; Viridiplantae; Streptophyta; Magnoliopsida; Lamiales; Lamiaceae
Description: long non-coding RNA (SMIL_LNC013499)
Source: RNAcentral